This 1729-nucleotide long non-coding RNA is filed under the name Cinara cedri. Lineage: Eukaryota; Metazoa; Arthropoda; Insecta; Hemiptera; Aphididae. The record is from RNAcentral.
UGACAACGCAUCAGAGCGCGGUCCCUCCAAUCGCUACCCAAUUCACUUACCGCUUGCUUACGGGUUUAGUCACCAUCAGGAGGGUACCCUCUGGCUAUUUAACAACUACCCAAAGAAACUCAUAAGCUCGUCCGGAUCCAACCACAAGGCACCGACCACGGCACGAAACCACGGUCGACACUCGGGUCUCUGUUCGGCGCCGAGAAUGGAUCGACGCUGGAGCUCCGAAGACCACUCGGACUACUUUUCAUAAAUGUCAAAAGUUGGACAUAUCUCGACAUCCGGCCACCGACGAAGCGGAUGAUUAGUCCGCACCGGAGGUACUCAGAUGUCUACUGACACGCGUGUGAUAACAGAGGUAAGUAGGCCACCCGAGAACAUCUCACGCUGUGACCCGACGGUCGGAACGCGAGAAGACCCCCGAAGGACCACGCGGAGGGGCGAGCCCGUAAUCUCGAUUUCUUACCGGAUACAAUCUCGUUGGGGUAGUACCGACAGUCGUCCGCCCAACGAUAAUUUGUACAUAUUUGCUUCACGACGCGAAGAAAUCCGCGUCGCUAAUAAUAUCUAGCGUCAUGAAAAGGCCUGUACUAUCUAAAAAGACCGAGAGGUAAAGCAGUCCUCUCAGCCCCUCUAGGGAACCACCGAGAACCGGCCAAAAAAUUAAUCCUAGACGGUUCCCCUGGCUGUGAUUUCGCUAGAUAAGAUAUUUUGUAUCAGUAGGUAGUCAUUCGGUCUAAUUCGUUCACGAGUAUGAUGAACGUUUCAUAUGAAUUGAACCGAAUCCUUCAAAUGACCCCUUUUGCCCAUCUUCAAUGACAAUUGAAUCCAAUGAUAAAGUGAUACCUACUGUUCAAUAAAAAUGUUUCUAUCUGAUAAAAAAGCCCAGAAUAACUUAUGAUUUUUCAAUUAUUUGUAUUCACUAAAACUAAUUCGUUGUACCAAGUUAUUAAUAUACUGAUUAUUUAUAUUUAUUAAUUAUUAUUGAGCUGGAAUUUUGAACGGGAUCAACCAAACUAAAAUUCAAGCCUACUGUAAUUUACUGUUCUUUUAAUUUCAUUAAGUUGUUCACUACAGUCGACAGCGCAAUUUCCGUGGUUCUCGUACGAAAAUAAAGCUGCAAGUCACAAACUGGUCGGCGAUCGUGAUAUUUAUAGUUCCAUAGUAAGUAUUCACACUUGAAAAAACAAUUUUACGUGUAGGCAUAUUUCGAAUUUACAUAAAGAUUAUAAUAUUAGUUAAAGGGCCUUUUUUUUUUAACUGCCUGUGAUCCUUUCACGAUCUACAGUUCUUAGUCUCUACUCUAUACUAUAAUUAUAUUCUACUAUCUACUAAUAAAUUAUGGUGUAUUCAAAGUAUGUCUAUUGUGGAUUAUCUUCAAAAAAUAAUGCAGAUGUGUCAUUUCAUUGCAUGAAUAAUAACAUAUUAUACAUAUAAUAUAUUACAAUUAUAUAAUGCAUAUCAUAGUAUCGUGACCUCACGUGCCUAAAGGUACGUUUUCCUUUGCACGAUUGCGUGCCCCGAUCGCGCGACUGCUGAUACAAUGUAAAUUAAAUACAUUUGGUUUUCCUUACGCGAUCGCGGUCGGCGAUGUAAAUUUGUUCGCUACGUGAACGCAAACUGACUGCUUCUUGAGAAGUCAAAUAGCGUUCACACCGCGAUCGACUAGUUGUUUUGAAAAUUAAUAAUAUGUAAUUAUAAACGGAAAUUUAAAUUUAAAUCUAGUUAU